UGGGGAAUAUUGCACAAUGGGCGCAAGCCUGAUGCAGCCAUGCCGCGUGUAUGAAGAAGGCCUUCGGGUUGUAAAGUACUUUCAGUCGGGAGGAAGGUGGUAAGGUUAAUAACCUUGGCAAUUGACGUUACCGACAGAAGAAGCACCGGCUAACUCCGUGCCAGCAGCCGCGGUAAUACGGAGGGUGCAAGCGUUAAUCGGAAUUACUGGGCGUAAAGCGCACGCAGGCGGUUGAUUGAGUCAGAUGUGAAAUCCCCGGGCUUAACCCGGGAAUUGCAUCUGAUACUGGUAAGCUAGAGUCUUUUAGAGGGGGGUAGAAUUCCAUGUGUAGCGGUGAAAUGCGGAGAGAUGUGGAGGAAUACCGGUGGCGAAGGCGGCCCCCUGGACAAAGACUGACGCUCAGGUGCGAAAGCGUGGGGAGCAAACAGG
Molecule: ribosomal RNA, 429 nt
Filed under: Chloroflexota bacterium
Lineage: Bacteria; Bacillati; Chloroflexota
Description: Chloroflexi bacterium partial 16S ribosomal RNA
Rfam family: Bacterial small subunit ribosomal RNA
Source: RNAcentral